ACCGAUUGAUCCUUUGCCAGAGGACCGGGGGUGGGGAAAGAGAGAUGAGCGUUCGCACACAGGCCUUAACCAGACCCCCAAGCCACUAACAAAAGACCUGAUGACUCAGCCACCAAACAGGACUUGAACCCGUGGCAGCUGCUUUUCCCCACCCGGUGUAGCUGCUCUCCGGAAACCACGCCUUGUAGGAACUCAAUCAAUUCUUGUUAACGCUCUCGCCCCAGACAAGCAGCUUUGAAGAAAGCCGUUUUAGGCAACACCAUCAGCCUUUUGCUGUCGUUCACUAAGGGUUUAGCAGCUCGGUAUUGAUUUCCUUGCGGCUGCCUCUGAACUUUAAUUCCUGCUGCAGAAAAACAAGGCUUUCUCUGGGACAUUUCCUGUCCAAGUGGCGGGUAACAACCAUUCCUGGGAUGCUGAUUUCCCCAGCGAUGCUGCGAACUGCAGGAUGCCUGCAACACGGCCUUUGUCUGUUCCAAAGAGUGAUUUCUGUAGCUGCAGGAGAUCCCUUCAAAUGUGAGCUGCAGCUCCACCUCCAUCCUAAGUCAGCGGUACCUUCCAACCCCCACUUUUGGAAAUCCAAUGACCACCCCCUUUUCCUCACACUGAUUUGCAGCCGCAAGCUUUAAGAAGGUGCUUAGUAUUUAAAUCAUGUUUGUUGCAUCCAGGUUUCUCUCCAAUGUUAAUUCCUAGCGAUCGGAAAAGACCUUAAUAAUCUUCUCUUGCAAGUACCGCUCCGAUAGUUUAUCCCCUCUACAAGAUCUCCACCAAGUGGCCAUUCUGGCUUUGCUUGAACACCUCUGAGGACAGGAAACUCACCCCCUCCAUAGGAAAGCUAUUGCCUCUCAGGAAACCUCCGAGAGGUAGAAAAUUUCACUGUGUGGCAUCAAACUUCACCUUCCUAAAACAUCAGUCUUUCAAGGAGACUGUCAGCAUCCCCAGCACUGAGAAAGGACUGGAAUCUCUGUGUUUGUCCACCACUAAAAUCACCACAUUAUCUGGCACGUAGUAGGUACUUAAUGUUUGUUAAGUUAAUGAAUGCAUGAAGUCAACAGUUACUGAGUAUCUAGGCAGGGCCACGCAUCGUGCUUGCAUAAUGCACACCUUAGCUAGGAACAAGUCAUGUUGAUAUGGAAUCCGGCAAGACAACAGCUUACCUGGUUGUGCUCACUCUGAAUCCCGGGCUCUUGACUAUGUAACAAAUGGCCCACUUUUCCAGGUAGCCCUGGUGAGGCUUUUUAACUCUGACUCUAUAAAGAUAACAGGAGGAUUUGUUGAAUAUCUAACCCCACGAUGGGAUAAAAGCUGAACAGAGUUUAUGUUGUUGAGAGGCAGUGUCGUAUAAUAGACAACAUGGACUCUGGUGCCACUUAAUAGUUCAGUAACUUCCCAAGGAUACACAGCUAAUCAGUGGCAGAGCUGGGAUCCAGUCUUGGAGUUGCCUGCUCCAGAGCCUGCAUUCUCUCCACUCUUCCGAGCUUUCUGAAAAAUGGGGACGUCCUUUACACUGUGAAAGGAUAGUCAAGUCUGGCAGGACAUGUCCCACCAGAGAAGCAAAUUUCUCCUAGCCACUAAGCAGGCCUCGGGGGAGCCCUGCUUCCGGUGCAUACCUUCUGUCUCUGCAGUUAGUAAGCAUGGAAGUGAUGCUGCAGCCAACAGCUCAUGAGGCUGGAGUGAGUCGAGUGGUCACUCAGUGGCCCCUGGCAGUCUGC
This is a long non-coding RNA of Equus caballus (horse), 1709 nucleotides long. NCBI's taxonomy places the organism in Eukaryota, Metazoa, Chordata, Mammalia, Perissodactyla, Equidae. The record is from Ensembl.